UUUCACACUUUCAUUCAACAAAUAUUGGUUGAGGUCCUCCUAUGUGCCAGGCCCUGAGCCAGGCACUGGGACUGCAGCUAUGAAUCGAAGUCUAUUCACUGGACUCAAAUUUCCCAUAGGAGUAUUGACAGCUCAGGAAAAAGAGGGCUCCUAUUUAAAAAAAAAAAAAAAAAAAAAAAACCUGGGUGUUUUAGGCUGCUCCAGCUCUCACUAUCUUUAUCCUGCCUUUUCCAGGUGAAAUCUCAGGUCAGGCCCACCCCACCAUGGCCAUGGUGACUUCAUCCACCAAAAACACUGGAAAGCCAAAAUGGCAAACUUGGCAACUACCUCCUAUGAACUGAAGUCAAAACUUCAAUGACAUGUCUCAUUUGAACUUCAUUACUUUAAAAGGUAUGAUUUGGAAGAUUUCACACAAAAAAUUUACAUUUCUGCCUCUCCUGGAAAAUGAGAAGGCCUAGCUCUUCAGCCCUGCAUCCCCACCAGGUAACCUGGAGUUGACAGCAGUAUCUUGUGGGUGGUGUGGGCAGGCGUCCUCACUCACUCUCCUGCUCAGCUUUGAAGGGGGAGUGAUAUGGCAUGAUUCAAUUUUAAAAAGUUUACCCUGGCUGGAUGAUGGACUUAGUUGGAUAGACACUCAGGUGGAUGCACCCAGAAUCUGAUUGCUUCUCGGCAACCCACCACCUUCUUAGUAUAAGCCACCAAUCUCUCCCACCUAGACAAUUAUAACAGCCCCCUAACUUCCCUGUUCUGUGGUCUCUUCUCACAGGCAACCUGAAUGGUACCUGAUGAGAAUGUACUCAAAACCUCCAAUGGCUCCCAUCUAACUUGGAAUCCAACCCAAAGUCUUUCCCAGAGUCUACAUAGCCUCUGCUCACCUCUCUGGCCUCUCCUGUCACCUUCUCCUGUGCUCCUGGCACAUUCUGGCCUCCCUGUAGCUUUCCAGCAAGCCAAAUGCUCUCCUCCUACCAUUCACCUUUGCAUGCACUGUUCCAGUCUUGCUGUCUUCUUGUCCUAGAGUUCAGCUGCCUGACAACUUCCCAACCCUGGCUGUCUGCUUCUGUUGCUUCAUUCCCCUGCCAACUGAGAUUGAACAGGAUCCCAUAUCACUCCUGUCCUUCACCGUUGCUCCACCUCUCUGUUCUGUUUCAUUCUUCACACAUUACUAACUAACAGAACGUCUGUUUGAUAUCAGUCUCUGCCCUUGGCAAAAUCUGCACUAAGAGUCUCUGCUGUGCCACAGAACCCAACACAGACACAGCACAUGGGUGUGCACAGCAACUACUGUGGAGAGAGUGGCUGAGAAAUGGUCCACAGCAGGGCUGUCUUGUGAGGCUAAAGGCAAGAUCAUAGGGAUGUGGCCAAGGUAGUGUGGUGGACAUGGAACAAGAAGCACUAUCUGGAAGCUCUCCAGGACAACUGUGGUAAUGGGCCUCAGAAUGCUCUCCAGUCCUCUGAUUUGGACAGCCACAUGGAAGAUGGUUGUAUUCAUCCAGAAGAGUCACCAGGAGCUAUCAGGCUGGAGGGAAGGCUGUGAAUUUACGUUUAGACAUCGGACAUUGUGUGGGAAGUACAAGACAUAAAGAUGCCAGAAGAUGGACUUUCUACACUUGCUCUGAGAUCUAUCUGCUUAGUACAAAGGACAUGAGAAUCCAUUGCUAACAGAGGAGUUAGAUGCUCUGGAUUUUGGGCUGGUAGCCUCUUUUUUCUGUAUCAAGCAGCACCUGGCAGCAAAAGAUGAGGAACACUAACCAAAGGGACUCUCCACACCUAGUAACCCUACUACCUACAGGCUGUUGAACUCAGGGUAGGACAAGAGGGCUCCAAGAAGCAACUGACUGACUCAUCGAUACAACUGUGUCCUUUAAUAAAGUGAAGACUUGCUUUCUUUAA
Molecule: long non-coding RNA, 1890 nt
Organism: Lynx canadensis (Canada lynx)
Lineage: Eukaryota; Metazoa; Chordata; Mammalia; Carnivora; Felidae
Exons: 2
Source: RefSeq, a predicted model, not a curated record